GUGGGUAGUUUGACUGGGGCGGUCUCCUCCUAAAGAGUAACGGAGGAGCACGAAGGUUGGCUAAUCCUGGUCGGACAUCAGGAGGUUAGUGCAAUGGCAUAAGCCAGCUUGACUGCGAGCGUGACGGCGCGAGCAGGUGCGAAAGCAGGUCAUAGUGAUCCGGUGGUUCUGAAUGGAAGGGCCAUCGCUCAACGGAUAAAAGGUACUCCGGGGAUAACAGGCUGAUACCGCCCAAGAGUUCAUAUCGACGGCGGUGUUUGGCACCUCGAUGUCGGCUCAUCACAUCCUGGGGCUGAAGUAGGUCCCAAGGGUAUGGCUGUUCGCCAUUUAAAGUGGUACGCGAGCUGGGUUUAGAACGUCGUGAGACAGUUCGGUCCCUAUCUGCCGUGGGCGCUGGAGAACUGAGGGGGGCUGCUCCUAGUACGAGAGGACCGGAGUGGACGCAUCACUGGUGUUCGGGUUGUCAUGCCAAUGGCACUGCCCGGUAGCUAAAUGCGGAAGAGAUAAGUGCUGAAAGCAUCUAAGCACGAAACUUGCCCCGAGAUGAGUUCUCCCUGACUCCUUGAGAGUCCUGAAGGAACGUUGAAGACGACGACGUUGAUAGGCCGGGUGUGUAAGCGCAGCGAUGCGUUGAGCUAACCGGUACUAAUGAACCGUGAGGCUUAACCUUA
Molecule: ribosomal RNA, 671 nt
Filed under: Escherichia coli
Lineage: Bacteria; Pseudomonadati; Pseudomonadota; Gammaproteobacteria; Enterobacterales; Enterobacteriaceae
Description: partial 23S ribosomal RNA
Rfam family: Bacterial large subunit ribosomal RNA
Source: RNAcentral